CAUUGAGCCACAUCCCUAUCCCUUUUAUUUUAUUUAUUUGUUUGUUUAUUGAGACCAUCUCACAAGGUUAGCCAACACUGAGAGGAGACUAUAUUUUGGUAAACUAGUAUAACCAACUAGGGCAGUGCCUGGCACAUGGUAGAUAUUCAAUAAAAUAUUUGUUUAAUGAAAAAAAGUUAUGUAUACAUAAUAUUUGAAAAUAUGUUUAAAUUUUUAUCUGGAAAAUGGGUAUGAGGGAAGCAUAAAUUUCCUUUAUGUGAUUGAUAAAUGUAAAUAUUUGUUGCAAGUCAUUGGGAAUAGAUGUAUUUUGGUUAUAUUUUUUAAAUGUACAGAAACUUGAGACAAAAAUAGAAAUAUGUGAAGCACUAGUUUCUUAGUUAUGGGAUUAGUUAGAUUUACUUUUUUGACAAUGAGGAAAAUACAAAACAUGGAAUUUUUGACAGUGCUUUGUAAAAAGAACUAAAUAUUAUAAUGGAGGGACAAAUCACUGCUGUGGUUGUACACAUAAACCUUAUUCUGUAAUAGAAAUAGUGUAGCUUUACAAGCAUAGUCAUUUUAAAGAGAAAAUUGAGGGGAAAAUGGUUAUUGAGGAUUGAGAUAGUGAUGGUUUUUUGGUAUCUUUGGAGAAGUAAUUCUUAGAUCUAAGUGGAAACUCUUUGGGCAUAUGCUUCCUUGCCUGGUGAAUGGAGUAGAGAUAGGUAAGGCAUAGGUAGCAACAGCUACAGUAUUUCUUGUUUCAUAUCUCCUUUCUGGAUACCAAGUUAAUACAUCUCCAAGGCUUCAUAUUUUAGGUGAUCGUUAUAUCAAAUGAUAUAUAACUCAGAAUAAUUAUUUUAAUAUGGCAAUAAAUAUUGAGAAUUAAUAUUUAACAUUUUUUAAAACUAAUGUUAAGGGAG
RNAcentral lists this long non-coding RNA (896 nucleotides) under Marmota monax (woodchuck). Lineage: Eukaryota; Metazoa; Chordata; Mammalia; Rodentia; Sciuridae. The record is from RNAcentral.